GUAAGUCUUUAAAGGCAUGCACCGAGCGGCCUCCAAAAAUGAAAAAAAAAAAACACUAUUUAGUCGGCUAUUAAAUGCCCCGACCAUUAAGAUUUAAAAACAAAAAUCAAACAAAACUAAACAGCCUUAUUGAUAACAAAAUAAUUUACGAAAAAAACUUGACCGACAUGAAUUAUGAACAACAACCACUGUACUACAUGUUUCCUGGCUUUAGAAUGGACAUUGGCACAUAAACAAUGUGGUGGCCAUAAACCCAACCCUCCCAAAUGAACCAAACCUUAAGGACAACACAUCGCAAGAAAAAAACUGUAAAAUAUCAGUUGCAAUUCGCGUCCCUAAAAAUAUGGGUACGGUGCACAAUAAUCACUUACAUAAAAAACAAUAGACACA
This 390-nucleotide long non-coding RNA is filed under the name Mytilus galloprovincialis (Mediterranean mussel). The record is from RNAcentral. Lineage: Eukaryota; Metazoa; Mollusca; Bivalvia; Mytilida; Mytilidae.